CUGCGUGGAUUCAUGGAGCUCUCCGGCGGAUACGUACGGGCGACCGAGUGAAGCUUGGCUGCAGGGUGGGUGGAGCCUCGACGGCGGUGAUGAAGCUGCGCGUCGGCGGCGAGCCCGAGGGUUUCGGAGGGGGUCGAAUCGAAUGGGACGGGGGGAGGCGGGCGGAAAGGAGAGUCGGCCGAGACUUCAAUAACGGAUCCAGCGGAUGGCUCUUUGGGCGGGAAUUCGGAAAACGGGAUCCCCUCCCCCACUCGCGUUGCUCUAAACCCUUUCCCGUUAUGCUCAACAGUUGCGGGAGCUCCGCCUUGAGAGCCGGUGCACGUGCUCCUGUAGUAAUUUUUUUUUUUUGACAGCAGCUCUUUGCAGCAGUAGUAAAUACAGUACUUGAUCUUAAAGAGCUUUUGAUCUAAACACACUUUCUAGACGGUAGACGGUGCAAAGAGCGGAAACGUAUCCUGGACGUCGCGUUGUGGGCCGAAUCCAAGCCGUUCAUCACGAAACAAAGGGUCCUCGUGGAGGUCCACAAGCCGACUCACCAAUACGCAAAGUCGCAAAAGCAC
RNAcentral lists this long non-coding RNA (560 nucleotides) under Brachypodium distachyon (stiff brome). Its description in RNAcentral is "long non-coding RNA (BDIS_LNC004213)". The record is from RNAcentral. Lineage: Eukaryota; Viridiplantae; Streptophyta; Magnoliopsida; Poales; Poaceae.